RNAcentral lists this long non-coding RNA (1064 nucleotides) under Capsella rubella. RNAcentral's name for it is "long non-coding RNA (CRUB_LNC004296)". The record is from RNAcentral. Lineage: Eukaryota; Viridiplantae; Streptophyta; Magnoliopsida; Brassicales; Brassicaceae.
UCACGACUCACGAUAUAGAAAAUAGAGUUUAUUUGUUAAGUAGCCAAAAUAGAAAAACGUAUUGCUUUGUAAGCUACGUUGCAUGGAAACGGAAACGGAUACGCGGAAAUGAAAUUCGGAAACGAAAAACGAGUUUUUAUGAAAUUAAGAUAUAGAAACUUGAACGGACAAUCGUUCCAUUUACUACUGUUCACUUUUCUCUCUCUGUGUACGAUUUUUUAGAUCUAGCUUUUUUUUUAUUUUUUCUUUUGCCCAGAUCUUUAUGGCUUGACUUUUUCAGAAGAGAAAGGGCAGUAAGAGUGAGCUUCCAUUCAUUCCCGUCAGCGUAGAGGUGGGUUCCGACAAACGAUAUGGUUGUAGCACAUCCUCGGUGGCUGUAAAAUCUCUGAUCUUAAUAUCUUCGGUUGAAGACUACGGAUGUUUGCUUUGGAGAUUUUCUAGGCUCAACCAUCGUGUUUGUUUCUAUGGUCGCGGCGGAAGUUGUUUGUUGGUAAGGAGGGUGAGCUGUCCGUUUAGUAAUUAGCAGUGGAUCUUUUGAUCGUAGCCGACUGUCGUGGAUAUUGGUUUUGGAGGGUUGUUGAGCCACCAAGCCUCCUUAACUACCAUGAUUACUGUUUAACUAAACCGGAUCUGUGUUUGGUUGUCUCGGGAAAAGGUUGUUAGUAGCUCUUCGAAGGUGGCUGAGUGUUAUGUUUGUGUCGGAUGAGUUGCUAGGAAGGGGACUCUCCGUUUAUGGAGGCCAUCCAGUCGGAAAAUGGGUAUUCCCGAGAGGUGUGUUGCAGAGCGGCGGGUCAUUUGAGCUGAUUCGGAGCCGGUCUCGUAUACUCCGGCUCCAUGAAUUUGUCUCAUUCGAUUCAGCAGCGAAGUAGUCUGCCUCGUAUACGUCGGAAAUGGAUGCCGGAGUUUCUGCGGCGGCUAAUCAGCUCAGAAAGAUCUUAGCUGCUUGAUUAGGGCGAACCCUUUUUCUGUUCGUGUAACUUUAUCUUUUGUAAUUUGCAGGUCCAAAAGCCCAUUUGGGAUAAGGCCCAUUAAUAAUAAUGAAAAAAAACAAAAGAUAUAGAAAC